UGCCGGUAGAUGUUAAAAGAUUACAGCAGCGAAGCCUAGAGAAGGGAAACUGGUAUAUGGCACCAAAGGAAUUACUGCUUGUCCAUCAGAGUUGCUACACUCUUUACUGGACAGUGGCAUAGGAGUAAUCUGAAGAUGGAAUGGAAGACCAGGGGAUUGCUUCCUUCGUACAGACUCGCCAGUGGCAUAAGAUACCCAGAUAUGUACUGAAAAAAACUUGAUCAUGAAGAGGCAGAAGUUUGUGCACUUAAUUAAAUAUGUCACAAGAGAUUAGAUCCAGCAUACCUGUGUUUGUAGAGGUAAAAUGCAAACCCUGAUAAUAUUAGAGCAAAGAACGGUACCAGGAUUGCAGCUGCAACAGAACUGCUGUUUGUACCAUAGAAGUGAUUGGGAUGAUCUGCGCCCGUACUUAAAGGACCUGAAAAGAAAAUGAAGGGAAGGGAAAGAAAAUAUUUUUUUUAAGGGAUGCAAGUAUAAGCAUGUAAAUCCAACAGAAGUAUGGCUGGCAAAACAAGCACAUUUUUUAAAAGUACUUGUAUGAAUGCAAUGUAUUUUCUAAAUGCAAUAAACAUGUAUAAAAUGUCUA
This is a long non-coding RNA of Podarcis raffonei (Aeolian wall lizard), 586 nucleotides long. RefSeq lists it as uncharacterized. Lineage: Eukaryota; Metazoa; Chordata; Lepidosauria; Squamata; Lacertidae. The transcript has 4 exons. The record is from RefSeq and is a predicted model, not a curated record.